CAAGUGCAAGUUAAACAAGCCCUGCCUUCAGGGAAACACAAUUAACCACAAGAGUUAUUUAUGCACAAGGUACUCUGCUGUAGAGAGGGUUGCUUACUAACACAGCCAGGGAGGACUGGGGAAGGAUUCCAGCUGCCUGAGCUAAGCCAGGAAGGGAAAAUUGGAGUUAGCAAGGCAAGGAAGGUCAUUCCAGGCAGUGGAAACAGAAUGAGCAAAGGCAAGAGAAAAGGCUAUUUGCUUUUGAGCUACUCCGGGAGAGGAGCAGAGUCGGUUUGAGUUGCAUGACUGACAUCUUCUGGCUACAGUGGAUAUUACAGAAAGACUGAAACUCCGCAAAAGUGUGUUUGAAAAAAAGAAAAGCACCCUGGAAUUUGGAUCAUUAAGACUCUAGACAUGUGACCUGGAGAUGCAGCAUCCAUCUUGUGACCAUGAAGCAAUAGGGAUAAGGGUAAAAGUCUACACAUUGCAGAUUGCAGAUAAAAACAUGAAAAGAUCCUGGCUGCCUGAUGACACUACAGGUUAAUAAAAAAUACCUCAGAGAUUCAAAUCUAAACAAAAUGCUAAGUCACAUUCAUCUACAUUCACAAUUAAAACAAUUGAGUGAUUUGGGUACAGAUGAUGAGGGAGAGGAUGGAACUCAUAAAAUGUGGUUUUCUUAUUUGAGUGGGCUGCUUGUUAUGGCAUUAAGGCACAGGCACCAUAUAUUAUUGUGUUUGAUUAUUUACUUACAACCUUCUAUCCUAUCAGGUAGUAAAUGUGUUGGGGCAAGGGCCUUUUUCUGUGUUAUUCACCAUUGUUUCCCUUAUAUCCAGCACUAUGAGGUUAAGCACCAAAAAAAGCUACUCAAUAAAUAUUUGUUAAAAAAUGGAAAAAAGAUAAUACAUAUAAUUUAGGACACAGUUUAUCAUGGCUGUGAUAAUGGGAAGUGUGGAACUAACACUAAUGUAAUCAUCCAUCAGGUUCUUCCUACCUGCCCCACAGACAAAAUCAUUUUACUGAGACCACAGCAUUGCAGUAAAGAAAGAGUUUAAUUGAUGCAAGACUGGCCAUGCCAUACGGAAGAGAGUUAUUACUAAAAUCAGUUGCCCUAAAAACUUGGAGGUUAGGGGUUUUCAAGGACAGUUUGGUGAGCAGGGGACUAGGAAAUAGGUGCUGCUGAUUGGUUGGAGAAGCCGUCACAGGAGAGUGGAACAUGGUCCUUGUGUACUGAGUCCACCUCUGGGUGGGGGGUGGGGACCACAGGACUGGUUGAUUCAUGAGUCAAGAGUCCAGAUGGAGUCAGUGGUGGUCAGAAGUGCAAAAGUCUGAAAAGAAAUCUCAAAGGGCUAAUCUUAAGUUCUACAAUAGUGAUGUUAUCUACAGGGCUAAUGAGGAAGUUACAAAUCUCAUGACCUCCAGAACAAAGGCUGAUAAUUGUUGAACUAUACUUACAUCUUAGCAGAAACCAGGCCCCUCUCAAAAUUCGAACCUAUGGAAUUUCAUAAAUUUUAUAAAGGUUGUUUAGUUUUGGGAAGGGCUAUUAUCAUUCUUGCUUUAAGUCUAGCCUACAAAGUAAAUUUCUCCCAAAGUUAGUUUGGCGUAUGGUGGGAAUGAUCAAGGAUAGCUUGGAGGUUAAAAGCAAGAUGGAGUCAACUAUGUCAGACUUCUCUUAUUAUCAUAAUUUUGCAAGGGCUGUUUCACUAGUAGUUAACACUAUCUAAGUAUAUGCCAUGUGCCAUAAAUUGUACUAAGAGCUUUACACACAUUAAUUAAUUUAUUUCAAAAACAAAAGAUUAAUAGAUAGUAUCGGCAUUAUAUCCAUUUUUAAG
Molecule: long non-coding RNA, 1808 nt
Filed under: Homo sapiens (human)
Lineage: Eukaryota; Metazoa; Chordata; Mammalia; Primates; Hominidae
Description: HSALNT0349073
Source: RNAcentral